This 341-nucleotide long non-coding RNA is filed under the name Bos indicus x Bos taurus (hybrid cattle). RNAcentral's name for it is "lncRNA (ENSBIXG00000015345.1)". Lineage: Eukaryota; Metazoa; Chordata; Mammalia; Artiodactyla; Bovidae. The record is from RNAcentral.
AUGCCACAGAAGCAAACAGCUUCCUCCAAGGGGCGAGAGUCUAACGCUCUGAUGGAACAAACCUGGCCUGGCAACAUCACCUUUCCUGGACUCCAUUUUAUCAUUGCUGAGUUGGAUAGAGGGAGCAAUGGUCAGAGCCCUCACUGACCACUGUGAGUGAACCCCAGACCAUUAGCCCUGGGUCUCAAAGGUGUUUAAGGCAGGAAAACUGGGAGGAAUUGAGGGACUACAAACAACCAGCCAAAGAGGGCAUUGCUCACCUCUAAGGUGAGUACUGUUACUACCUCCAUUUGACUAAUGAAGAAACAGACUUAAAGAGGUUAAGUACCUGGUAAGUGAAC